Molecule: ribosomal RNA, 408 nt
Filed under: Triticum aestivum (bread wheat)
Lineage: Eukaryota; Viridiplantae; Streptophyta; Magnoliopsida; Poales; Poaceae
Description: partial small subunit ribosomal RNA
Source: RNAcentral
AUGUCCACUGCGUGUGCCAGCGCCCAUGUCCGAGUACCACAUUUUCUCUACUUCCCUUGCACCUUUGGCUGCUGCCUCGGGAGGCCCUUUUGUCGUGCUUCAUUUUGGGUCGGCCAGAACGAGAACGCCAAGUACCGUCGCCGAAGACCCAUGUACAACUACCGUUGCCAAGACCCCGUGAACGUCUACACGACGACCGCCAAGUACCUCUUCGCGAGUACCACUACCAUCGCGUGGGUCUGCCAAGACUGUGGGGUAAACGAACAUGUACCACUACGCCCGGAGUCAUCGGAUCCGUCAAGUCCGAAGACCCUUAGUACCACGACAACCUCGAAGGGAUUUGUAUUCAUCAAGUUCGACUACAACGACCACAACGUGUACCACUACCAUCCUCGAAGACCCGUGUAA